Long non-coding RNA from Equus caballus (horse), 2015 nucleotides. The record is from Ensembl. NCBI's taxonomy places the organism in Eukaryota, Metazoa, Chordata, Mammalia, Perissodactyla, Equidae.
GAAGAACAGGGGCUACGACUGCCUCGGUGCCCACUCAUAGAACAGGAGUGUCACUCUGGGGCACUGUCACUCCAGCUCCUGUGCAGAGAGGUUCUGUGCAAGGAGAGAGGCAGGCCAUAAGGAUGAAGAACGCUGUAGCUCUGCCUAAGAGGACUAACUUUAUCUGGAACAGAGCACGGAGAAGUCCAUGCCUAAGGCUUUUGUCAACAACAGUGGAGAUCUUGUUGUAGAGCAAUUAAGAGAGAAUUCACAGCUUCAUCAUACCAGUAGCAACAAGCAAAUGGCAGAGCAAUCAGAAGUUUCACAGGGAGAAUUAGGGAAAGGAAAGCCAAGAAGACCUGUCUGGGAUCACAGCCAAGCCUGGGGUCAGGAGGGCUGUGCAUAAGCAUGAUGUUGCCCCCACUCAGCAGCAAUUAGAAUAGACAUGGAGAAGCCUUGAAAACGUGUACCAGACCUCACACAGAUCCAUGAACCAAGAGCACAAGUCUCGCUGACCAAAUACCGGCUGAAUAACCUACUCUGAUUUGGGAGCAGUUCCUAGGGAGCCAGGCUGAAGAGUAAAAUCACGGGUACCCAUGGCAGUUAGAAGACUGUGUGCAUGUUCAAAGCUGCAUUCUCUUAGGAGUGACUGGAAAGAGAAAGUCCAAGCUAAUUGUCCCUGACUGAACGUGAAGCAAAAAUGUAAACUCUGUGAGCAGUGAUAGUAGCUUCCAGGCCAAACAAACAUCCAACGAUAAAGGGUAAAAGUCUAACUGCCAAAGGGGGCUUAAACACAACCUUUGACCAAUAAGUGGUUUACGCUGACCCAGGGUUGACCCUUACGUAGUCAGGCUAAAAGAUAAAAAACAAAAAAACAAAAAAUAUGAACAAGGACGUAAGACGCUGAACGCUGUAGGGCAAAGUGACUUCACAAAGUUAGUUCACCAAAGUCACUAAAAAUAAAUAAAUGACAAAUCAACGACAGUCCCAGGGUAGGGAGAGAGCAAUAUCUGGAACUGAUGCAAUAUCUAAAUAUUUAGAUAAAGAUUUUAGAUAAAUACAUAAAUGUAUCUAAAAUUUCCAGUUUUCAACCACAGAAAAAAAAAUGAUCCAUACGAUGAAACAGGAAAGUGUGACCCAUACACACAGUCAAUAGAAACUGUUUUGGAGGGUCCCAGACUUUGGACUUAGCAGAAAAACACUUGAAAGCAGCCAUUAUAAAAAUGUUCAAAGAACUAAAGGAAAUUAUGCCUAAAAAUUUUUAAAAGUAUGAUAACAGUAUCUUGAUGAAUAAAGAAAACCAAUAAAGAGUUCAGAAUUAUAGAAAGGAACCAAAGGGAAAUUCUGGAUUGGAAAAAUACGAUAACUGAAAUGAAAAAUUUAAUAAAGGGGCUCAACAGUAGAUUUGAGCUGGAAGAAGAAAGAAUUAGUGAAGUAGAAGAGAGAUCACUAGAGAUUAGGGAAUCUGAAGAAGAGAGAGAAAAAAGAAUGGAGAAAAAUGAUCAGAAUAACAUGAAACACACCAAUGUACGUGUAAUGGGAGUAGCAGAAGGAAAGCAGAAGGGGAAAGGAGAAGAAAAAAUAUUUGUGGUAAUAAUGGUUGAAAAUUUCCCAAAUUUGAUUAAAAAACAGCUUUCAUCCACAUAUUCAAGAAACUCAUGCAGCUCAAAGUGGAUAAAAUGCAGGAAGAUUCACACCCAGAUAGAUCAUAGCCAAAAUGAUGAAAGCCAAAGAUGAAGAAAAGAUCUUAAAAACAGUAAGAGGAAAAUGACUCAUCACUUGCAAGGUAACCCCAGUAAUGUUAACAAUGAGCUUCUCACUGGAAACAAUGGAGGCCAGGAGGGAGUGGAACAACAUAUUUGAGAUGCUGAAAGCUUAAAAAAAUUAUCAACCAAAAUUUUAUAUCCAGCAAAAAUGAAACAAAUACAUUCCAAGAUUGAAAAAAAAAAGAAAGAAAAGCAGCUUGGAGAAUUUGUUGUUAGAAGACCUGCCUUGAAAGAAACACUAGAGUUUUGAGAGUGAAAACGAGUUACGCC